Molecule: unclassified non-coding RNA, 323 nt
Filed under: Exophiala sp.
Lineage: Eukaryota; Fungi; Ascomycota; Eurotiomycetes; Chaetothyriales; Herpotrichiellaceae
Description: partial contains 5.8S ribosomal RNA, internal transcribed spacer 2, and large subunit ribosomal RNA
Rfam family: 5.8S ribosomal RNA (bases 1-71)
Source: RNAcentral
GUGAAUCAUCGAAUCUUUGAACGCACAUUGCGCCCUUUGGUAUUCCGAAGGGCAUGCCUGUUCGAGCGUCAUUAUCACCCCUCAAGCCCCUGGCUUGGUGUUGGACGGUUUGGUGGAGGCCCCCUCGGGGGCUCCUGCCCCUCCCAAAGACAAUGACGGCGGCCUCGUUGGACCCCCGGUACACUGAGUUCUUCACGGGACACGUAUCGGACACAUGGGUUUACGGGACACGGUCUGCCUCCCCUCAGGGAGAAUCUUUCUAAGGUUGACCUCGGAUCAGGUAGGGAUACCCGCUGAACUUAAGCAUAUCAAUAAGCGGAGGA